Molecule: transfer RNA, 87 nt
Filed under: Halobacteriales archaeon QS_8_69_26
Lineage: Archaea; Methanobacteriati; Methanobacteriota; Halobacteria; Halobacteriales
Description: tRNA-Leu
Source: RNAcentral
CUGCAGGGACCCAAGCUGCGCCUGCAAGGCGCAGCGCUUAGGACGCUGUUCCGAAGGGAUCCGCCGGUUCGAAUCCGGGCCCGCGCA